UUACUUUUGUGGUUCAUAGUAUAACUGGGAUUCCACAUGAUUGUGUGAGACAUGUCUCAAACUUUGUGAUGUCAGCACAUUACCCAUCUGAUG
Heterocephalus glaber (naked mole-rat) is the source of this 93-nucleotide small nucleolar RNA. Lineage: Eukaryota; Metazoa; Chordata; Mammalia; Rodentia; Bathyergidae. The record is from Ensembl.